UACGGGGGGGGCAAGCGUUGUUCGGAAUUACUGGGCGUAAAGGGCUCGUAGGCGGCCAACUAAGUCCGACGUGAAAUCCCUCGGCUUAACCGGGGAACUGCGUCUGAUACUGGAUGGCUUGAAUCCGGGAGAGGGAUGCGGAAUUCCAGGUGUAGCGGUGAAAUGCGUAGAUAUCUGGAGGAAUACCGGUGGCGAAGGCGGCAUCCUGGACCGGCAUUGACGCUGAGGAGCGAAAGCCAGGGGAGCAAACGGG
Molecule: ribosomal RNA, 253 nt
Filed under: uncultured bacterium
Lineage: Bacteria
Description: partial 16S ribosomal RNA
Rfam family: Bacterial small subunit ribosomal RNA
Source: RNAcentral